Molecule: ribosomal RNA, 251 nt
Filed under: uncultured prokaryote
Description: partial 16S rRNA
Rfam family: Bacterial small subunit ribosomal RNA
Source: RNAcentral
ACGUAGGUGGCAAGCGUUGUCCGGAAUCAUUGGGCGUAAAGAGCGCGUAGGUGGCUUGUCAUGUCGGGUGUGAAAUUUCGGGGCUCAACCCCGAACCUGCAUCGGAAACCGGGUGGCUCGAGUCUGGGAGAGGUGAGUGGAACUCCUGGUGUAGCGGUGAAAUGCGUAGAUAUCAGGAGGAACACCGGUAGCGAAGGCGGCUCACUGGAACAGAUCUGACGCUGAGGCGCGAAAGCGUGGGGAGCAAACAG